This 840-nucleotide ribosomal RNA is filed under the name Xanthoparmelia mexicana. RNAcentral's name for it is "eukaryotic LSU rRNA". It matches the Rfam family "Eukaryotic large subunit ribosomal RNA", at positions 81 to 936 of the family's 3401-position model. The record is from RNAcentral. Lineage: Eukaryota; Fungi; Ascomycota; Lecanoromycetes; Lecanorales; Parmeliaceae.
CAGUAACGGCGAGUGAAGCGGCAACAGCUCAAAUUUGAAAUCUGGCUCCUUUGGGGUCCGAAUUGUAAUUUGUAGAGAGUGCUUCGGGUGAGACCUCGGUCUAAGUCCAUUGGAACAUGGUGUCAUAGAGGGUGAGAAUCCCGUAUGCGACCGUGGCUCGAGCCCAUGUGAAGCCUCUUCGACGAGUCGAGUUGUUUGGGAAUGCAGCUCAAAACGGGUGGUAAAUUUCAUCUAAAGCUAAAUACUGGCUGGAGACCGAUAGCGCACAAGUAGAGUGAUCGAAAGAUGAAAAGCACUUUGGAAAGAGAGUCAAACAGUACGUGAAAUUGUUGAAAGGGAAGCGCUUGCAACCAGACCUGCCCGUAGGCGAUCAGCCGCUGUUCUCAGCGGUGCACUCGCUCUGCGAUCAGGCCAGCAUCGGUUUCGGCGGUCGGAUAAAGGCCUUGGGAAUGUAGCUUCCCUUCGGGGGAGUCUUAUAGCCCUCGGUGUAAUGCGGCCAGCCGGGACCGAGGACCGCGCUUCGGCUAGGAUGCUGGCGUAAUGGUUGUAAGCGACCCGUCUUGAAACACGGACCAAGGAGUCUAACAUCUAUGCGAGUGUUUGGGUGUCAAACCCAUACGCGAAAUGAAAGUGAACGGAGGUGAGAACCCUUAAGGGCGCAUCAUCGACCGAUCCAGAUGUCUUCGGAUGGAUUUGAGUAUGAGCAUAGCUGUUGGGACCCGAAAGAUGGUGAACUAUGCCUGAAUAGGGUGAAGCCAGAGGAAACUCUGGUGGAGGCUCGCAGCGGUUCUGACGUGCAAAUCGAUCGUCAAAUUUGGGUAUAGGGGCGAAAGACUAAUC